RNAcentral lists this ribosomal RNA (68 nucleotides) under Clostridioides difficile. RNAcentral describes it as "partial 23S ribosomal RNA". The record is from RNAcentral. Lineage: Bacteria; Bacillati; Bacillota; Clostridia; Peptostreptococcales; Peptostreptococcaceae.
UGGUCAAGUUAUUAAGGGUGCAGGGCGGAUGCCUUGGCACUAGGAGCCGAUGAAGGACGUGAUAAGCU